GUCCUGGUAGCUCAGUGGAUAGAGCAACGGCCUCCUAAGCCGUAGGUCGGGCGUUCGAAUCGCCCCCUGGACG
RNAcentral lists this transfer RNA (73 nucleotides) under Edaphobacillus lindanitolerans. RNAcentral's name for it is "tRNA_Arg_CCT". It matches the Rfam family "tRNA". Rfam says of the family: Transfer RNA (tRNA) molecules are approximately 80 nucleotides in length. Their secondary structure includes four short double-helical elements and three loops (D, anti-codon, and T loops). Further hydrogen bonds mediate the characteristic L-shaped molecular structure. tRNAs have two regions of fundamental functional importance: the anti-codon, which is responsible for specific mRNA codon recognition, and the 3' end, to which the tRNAs corresponding amino acid is attached (by aminoacyl-tRNA synthetases). tRNAs cope with the degeneracy of the genetic code in two manners: having more than one tRNA (with a specific anti-codon) for a particular amino acid; and 'wobble' base-pairing, i.e. permitting non-standard base-pairing at the 3rd anti-codon position. The record is from RNAcentral. Lineage: Bacteria; Bacillati; Bacillota; Bacilli; Caryophanales; Bacillaceae.